CCUGACACACAGGAAUGACCUCUUCAUGACACCUUCAUGAAGCUUUAACUACAAUCACCUCUGAGGUUCAAACUACGUCCACCUCCGAGGUUCACACAUCCUGAC
Melanotaenia boesemani (Boeseman's rainbowfish) is the source of this 105-nucleotide long non-coding RNA. RefSeq lists it as uncharacterized. Lineage: Eukaryota; Metazoa; Chordata; Actinopteri; Atheriniformes; Melanotaeniidae. The transcript is spliced from 3 exons. The record is from RefSeq and is a predicted model, not a curated record.